RNAcentral lists this ribosomal RNA (305 nucleotides) under uncultured bacterium. RNAcentral describes it as "bacterial SSU rRNA". It matches the Rfam family "Bacterial small subunit ribosomal RNA", at positions 338 to 641 of the family's 1533-position model. The record is from RNAcentral.
CCUACGGGGCGCAGCAGUGAGGAAUAUUGGUCAAUGGCCGAGAGGCUGAACCAGCCAAGUCGCGUGAGGGAUGACGGCCCUACGGGUUGUAAACCUCUUUUGUCGGGGAGCAAAGAGAGUCACGUGUGGCUCAUUGAGAGUACCCGAAGAAAAAGCAUCGGCUAACUCCGUGCCAGCAGCCGCGGUAAUACGGAGGAUGCGAGCGUUAUCCGGCUUUAUUGGGUUUAAAGGGUGCGCAGGCGGAGGUGCAAGUCAGUGGUCAAAUUGCGGGGCUCAACCCCGUACUUCCGUUGCAACUGCAUCCC